ACGAAACGAAAACUCUGCGCAUGCUCAGGAAAUCGGGCCAGAGGUCGCGAUUCCUGGUGCUGACCCAAAAGAGCGCCCACUCUGGGAACGAGAAUGCUAAUUCCCUUGUCUGAAAAGAUGUUGCGCUCUUUGGCUUUCGCGCUUCCAACCGGCCGCAUUAAUUUUCGGUAAAAUCUGAUUGGCUCACAUUUAUAGCAGACACAAGAUACCGUCGUUGUUGACAGGGAAGCAUCAGGCGUUCUUUUUUCCCUUUACCCGUUCUCCUAGAAAAAAAAAAUGUCUCAGUAAAUACACGAAUAUGAUCGGCUUUUUCUUCGAGGGCAAAUAUGCUAGUAUUACGAACAUCAAGUUUCCAAGGGGCAACUAGCAGAGCGAUUGUUCCGAGACAUAUCUACACUCUAUUGUCUUUAUUGUUCAGCACUAAAUUUUCCUCCCGGUGCGCCAGUUCAAAAGUAAAAUUAAAUUAUUUUCAACUUUUUUCAGAUGAAAGGAGUGAAAGCCAUAUUUAAAAUUUGAAAAACAAAACAGACAACAUUACAGUUUCUCCCACCCGCUGAAUCCUGAUUGGACAAUUCAAAUUUCAGACGAACCGGCCGUAAUGCAAGGUCAAUAAAUUGUCAAGUAAAAAUAAAAAAAAUUCUUGCAAAUAUGGCGAAUUGCCGCUGAACGCGAAACCUUUACAAGGAACGUUGGCUAAGUGCAACCUCGUUCUCAGUCUUUGUCCCGUUCCCCUCCCCUCGUAGCUUUCUCGCUCUAGGAAACGGAAGAAGAACCACCCUGGGAAACUCGUAUAGAGAAAGCCCCCGGAGGCUCCUCUGUUAAAAGGGCGGGGAUGCUCUUCGGAAAAUUUUUAAGACAAAGCGAGCUAGACACCCGCAUAAGGCAAAUUUGGUUGUGGCUAAAGCUCUCGUUGACCCCCUAAAGGGUACUAUUCUAAACAAACACAUACAAAUAAGCACCUAAGUCCAACACGGUCGAGACCAUGGGCAUUCUAGCCUCGGCUUCCAGGUGUUGAGUUAGUUGGGGCGCAGCGCGUAAAACUAUCUGAACGCCCGAAAGAGGUUAACAUGGAAGUCAGAUUCCGCCGGAAUGUAGCUUGAAUUUCAGCCGCCUCCUCCGCUGGCUAAGUCACUCGGGGACAGAGACGUCGUCUUUCUCCCCAAGUAGCCUGCGAGUAGGCUCACGUUGGAGCACAAGGGCGCGCGGAGUAGCCGUGAGGGCGAAAUCGAGCGGCGGAGCCGCGAGACGAGAACUUUCUUAGCGCCUCUUCACCAGACUCCUUUCCGCCGGAUCGCUUUGCUCUUCAAUUCGCCUACAAAAAGCCUCAAAGGGGAGUCUACUCGCAGGCUAUCCCCGAGUGACUUAGCGAGCGGAGGAGGCGGAAUAGGACUUUUGCCACUUUCAUUUUCAUAUCUAGCAAACCACCAGGCCAGUGAAUGAUUAAAAGGAAAUUACGCACUCAUAAUGUGAUAUGUGGGUUAUUGACCAAUCGUAACGACAAGAUGGCUGGAUAUUCAAUAUAAGACCUUUUCUUUGCACGUUACCAGCCGAGACACAUGAUAUAGGAUCUCGGCCAAAAAGGUUGUUCAAUAAAAGACAUAUUACAUGGCAUACAGAGAUAUCAUUUUCUUGUCUUGACUUCCGGUGGUGCGGAUCGACUCCGUACAAAUUGAGUCGCAUCGUCAAGUACCUCAGAAGAAUCGACUCGGUUUGGGUGUAUUGGUACCUGAACGUAUUGGACAUGGAUGGAUGUAUCAAUGGAGUAUUGGCCGAUAAUCGACAGAUGUCGGUUGAUAGUGUAAGCUGAUCGACACUACCAUCAAUAUAUUAUCCUAAAAUUGCGUUAUCCAGUUCUCGAGUAGCAUUUGUUUAGUGCAUCAUUCAAAUCAGUGUUGAAUCCAUAGCGCCUAAACUAAACCUUUGACUUUUGUAAUACGAUAGCUUUACCACAAUACCUAGACAUUCCAAAAGUCCUUUCCGCUGGAUGAUAAGCGAAGGUUUAGGCAAAGCUUGAAUUACGUUGAGUCAUGGGGGAACGUUCCUCACUUGUCCGCAGCAAAAAUCGUCGCGAUGCAGUGGGUUACUCCACGUUUGAUCCUAGUGGUUCAAUAGACAGUGGGCUUUCAAUUAGCCCAGACGACAGCACUGCAAGGACAGGCGGUGGUGCCUAUGUCGCAGCCGUUGAGGACGCCAGGGAGAGAGUAUCAAUUUCUUGGGAGAACAUCCAGGCAUUUGUCGACCAGCCAGGUCCAUCCUUCUUUAAGAGAUUGUGUUUUGGUACCGAUGAAAACCAAACCCCGACAAAAAAGCACGUCUUGGUCAAUGUGAGUGGAAGCGUGGAAGCUGGAACUUUGUUAGCCGUCAUGGGAGCAAGGUGAGAACAGAUGCUAUAUUUUCCCAUGCUGCGCGUAUUUGAUUUAACCUUCAUAUAAACGGGAAAGCAUUGAACUUCCGGUCUUAAUUUUUGGUCAACGAAAAUCCGGCGAGCAUUCACAUUCUACACGUCUGAACGCCGCAACUUUUCGGCCCAGUUCCCAGGGGGACCUCUCAAUUAAAAAGGAUUGGGGUACUCGUCAGAAAUUUUGAAAAGAGCCUCUAAAAGGUUG
Unclassified non-coding RNA from Orbicella faveolata, 2606 nucleotides. The record is from RefSeq and is a predicted model, not a curated record. Lineage: Eukaryota; Metazoa; Cnidaria; Anthozoa; Scleractinia; Merulinidae.